GAAUCUGCCCUCAGGAGGGGGAUAACGGUUGGAAACGACCGCUAAUACCCCAUAUGCCGAGAGGUGAAAUGAAAUUCGCCUGAGGAUGAGCUCGCGUCUGAUUAGCUAGUUGGUAAGGUAAUGGCUUACCAAGGCAUUGAUCAGUAGCUGAUCUGAGAGGAUGAUCAGCCACACUGGGACUGAGACACGGCCCAGACUCCUACGGGAGGCAGCAGUGGGGAAUUUUCCGCAAUGGGCGCAAGCCUGACGGAGCAACGCCGCGUGAGGGAUGAAGGCCUCUGGGCUGUAAACCUCUUUUAUCAAGGAGGAAGAACUGACGGUACUUGAUGAAUAAGCCACGGCUAAUUCCGUGCCAGCAGCCGCGGUAAUACGGGAGUGGCAAGCGUUAUCCGGAAUUAUUGGGCGUAAAGCGUCCGCAGGCGGUUUUACAAGUCUGUCGUUAAAGCGUGGAGCUCAACUCCAUUUCAGCGAUGGAAACUGUAGACUCGAGUGUGGUAGGGGCAGAGGGAAUUCCCGGUAUAGCGGUGAAAUGCGUAGAUAUCGGGAAGAACACCAGUGGCGAAAGCGCUCUGCUGGGCCAUAACUGACGCUCAUGGACGAAAGCCAGGGGGGCG
Molecule: ribosomal RNA, 614 nt
Filed under: uncultured Synechococcus sp.
Lineage: Bacteria; Bacillati; Cyanobacteriota; Cyanophyceae; Synechococcales; Synechococcaceae
Description: bacterial SSU rRNA
Rfam family: Bacterial small subunit ribosomal RNA
Source: RNAcentral